GCUGGCGGCGUGCUUAACACAUGCAAGUCGAGCGGAAAGGCCCUUCGGGGUACUCGAGCGGCGAACGGGUGAGUAACACGUGAGUAACCUGCCCUGGACUUUGGGAUAACCCUCGGAAACGGGGGCUAAUACCGGAUACGACACACCGAUGCAUGUUGUGUGUGUGGAAAGUUUUUCGGUCUGGGAUGGGCUCGCGGCCUAUCAGCUUGUUGGUGGGGUGAUGGCCUACCAAGGCGACGACGGGUAGCCGGCCUGAGAGGGCGACCGGCCACACUGGGACUGAGACACGGCCCAGACUCCUACGGGAGGCAGCAGUGGGGAAUAUUGCACAAUGGGCGGAAGCCUGAUGCAGCGACGCCGCGUGAGAGAUGACGGCCUUCCGGUUGUAAACCUCUUUCAUCACGGACGAAUCGAGAGUGACGGUACCUGCAUA
Molecule: ribosomal RNA, 433 nt
Filed under: uncultured soil bacterium
Lineage: Bacteria
Description: bacterial SSU rRNA
Rfam family: Bacterial small subunit ribosomal RNA
Source: RNAcentral